This 400-nucleotide ribosomal RNA is filed under the name uncultured Glomeromycotina. RNAcentral describes it as "eukaryotic LSU rRNA". The record is from RNAcentral. Lineage: Eukaryota; Fungi; Glomeromycota.
GAAAAGAACUUUGAAAAGAGAGUUAAAUAGUACGUGAAAUUGUUGAAAGGGAAACGAUUGAAGUCAGUCGUACUGGCGAAAAAUCAACUACUCGAGUGAGUACUUGUGGGCGUACGUGAGCUUCACGGCCGCGUUGUUUGCAAUGUUCGUGCUCUUGUGGUGUACUUUUUCGUGUGGUAGGUCAAUGUCGGUUUUGAACGCCAUAAAAUGAUUGGGGGAAGGUAGCUCCUUCGGGAGUGUUAUAGCCCUUGGUAGAUGUGAUGUCUGGGAUUGAGGAUUGCAAUGAAUACCCUUUGGGGCUAGCCGCCUGAUCUCUAAUUGGUAUUGGGUUACGGAUAGCAUGCUGACCGUAAUCUAAUUAUUGGUUAAAAGGUUAGAGCGUGCAUAAAUUCAUUAAGGA